AGUGAACGCUGGCGGUAGGCCUAACACAUGCAAGUCGAACGGCAGCACAGUAAGAGCUUGCUCUUACGGGUGGCGAGUGGCGGACGGGUGAGGAAUACAUCGGAAUCUACUUUUUCGUGGGGGAUAACGUAGGGAAACUUACGCUAAUACCGCAUACGACCUACGGGUGAAAGCAGGGGAUCUUCGGACCUUGCGCGAUUGAAUGAGCCGAUGUCGGAUUAGCUAGUUGGCGGGGUAAAGGCCCACCAAGGCGACGAUCCGUAGCUGGUCUGAGAGGAUGAUCAGCCACACUGGAACUGAGACACGGUCCAGACUCCUACGGGAGGCAGCAGUGGGGAAUAUUGGACAAUGGGCGCAAGCCUGAUCCAGCCAUACCGCGUGGGUGAAGAAGGCCUUCGGGUUGUAAAGCCCUUCUGUUGGGAAAGAAAAGCAGCAGGUUAAUACCCCGCCGUUCUGACGGUACCCAAAGAAUAAGCACCGGCUAACUUCGUG
Molecule: ribosomal RNA, 492 nt
Filed under: uncultured bacterium
Lineage: Bacteria
Description: partial 16S ribosomal RNA
Rfam family: Bacterial small subunit ribosomal RNA
Source: RNAcentral